This 89-nucleotide transfer RNA is filed under the name Mesorhizobium sp. 113-3-9. Its description in RNAcentral is "tRNA-Leu". Lineage: Bacteria; Pseudomonadati; Pseudomonadota; Alphaproteobacteria; Hyphomicrobiales; Phyllobacteriaceae. The record is from RNAcentral.
GUUGGCGCUGGUCGAGGUGGCGGUGGUUUCGUUGAGGGCGAUGCGGCUGACGAUCUGCUGGUCGGUGGCGUUCGACAUGUUGGCCUGCC